Molecule: transfer RNA, 86 nt
Filed under: Deltaproteobacteria bacterium
Lineage: Bacteria; Pseudomonadati; Myxococcota; Myxococcia
Also listed under: 1 other name
Description: tRNA-Leu
Rfam family: tRNA
About the family: Transfer RNA (tRNA) molecules are approximately 80 nucleotides in length. Their secondary structure includes four short double-helical elements and three loops (D, anti-codon, and T loops). Further hydrogen bonds mediate the characteristic L-shaped molecular structure. tRNAs have two regions of fundamental functional importance: the anti-codon, which is responsible for specific mRNA codon recognition, and the 3' end, to which the tRNAs corresponding amino acid is attached (by aminoacyl-tRNA synthetases). tRNAs cope with the degeneracy of the genetic code in two manners: having more than one tRNA (with a specific anti-codon) for a particular amino acid; and 'wobble' base-pairing, i.e. permitting non-standard base-pairing at the 3rd anti-codon position.
Source: RNAcentral
GCCGGAGUGGUGGAAUUGGCAGACACAUGGGACUUAAAAUCCCAUGGCGGGUCCCCGCCGUACGGGUUCAAAUCCCGUCUCCGGCA